RNAcentral lists this ribosomal RNA (253 nucleotides) under uncultured bacterium. RNAcentral describes it as "partial 16S ribosomal RNA". It matches the Rfam family "Bacterial small subunit ribosomal RNA", at positions 524 to 776 of the family's 1533-position model. The record is from RNAcentral.
UACGGAGGGUGCAAGCGUUAUCCGGAUUCACUGGGUUUAAAGGGUGCGUAGGCGGGCAGGUAAGUCCGUGGUGAAAUCUCUGAGCUUAACUCAGAAACUGCCAUGGAUACUAUUUGUCUUGAAUAUUGUGGAGGUAAGCGGAAUAUGUCAUGUAGCAGUGAAAUGCUUAGAUAUGACAUAGAACACCAAUUGCGAAGGCAGCUUACUACACAGUUAUUGACGCUGAGGCACGAAAGCGUGGGGAUCAAACAGG